UUCCCUUCCCUAAUCAUAAAGCAACAGAAGUCAUAAGUGUUAUAUGUGUCAGAGAACAGGGAAGGGUAUCUAACCCAAAUUUAGUGUUCAUAAAAUUUUCCUAGAAAAAAUAACUCCAGAGAUAAAUCUCUAAUAUGUAAGAUUGUGUAAUAAGUGAAGUAUUGAUCAGGAAAGUAAAGUGGAAAAGAGUCACAAAGGCAGGUUGAGCAGCGUACAGGGAUGCAUGAAAGCAUCAAUCAAGUAGCACCUGAAGAAAACGUCAUGCAGUUUGGUGUUAACUGAAUGUGAGGCAGGGAAUGGGUGGAGAUGAGGAAGAGAGGUAGGAAGGCAGGUUCUCUGGUGGUCUCGGGCCUUUGCAAAGGUAAUCCACAGAAAGGAAGAAAACGCUCAUGAGCUUCUGUGCGCAGAGACUUCAUAGACUGAAAGUUGAGACCAAUAUGUGAGAUAAUAAAUCAUAUGUGCUCUAAUUGCUGUUGUGGAGAGACACACAGGGAACAAAGGCAGCAUAGAGGAUAGGGAAAUAAUCAAAGCAGGGGUAGACUGGAAAGGCUUUCUGGGUGAGGCAAUACAGGUUACAUUUAAACCCAAUCCUAAUACGUGAGACUCAGUAAACUAGGUGAUACUGGAAAGUGGUAAGGAAUUUAUUCCAGACAAAGAGAAAGAGUACACAUAAGAGGGGUAAAAAUGAGUUAGGACAUUUUAAUAUUUUAAGCAGUCCAGUAUGGGUACUACACAUUGCAUAAGGAAACAGAAGGGCGGGGGAUAAGGCUAGAGAAGAGAGAAUAAACACCAGACAAUCAUGAAGUUUUUUCCUAUGGCAAUGCUAAGCAUUAGAGUAACCAUAGAACGCCAUUUUAGAUUGCAAAGCAAGGGAGUAACCUCAUCAGCUCUGUGCCUUUGGAAAAUCACUCUGAGUAGAUAUCGUGGGUGGAGGCACCAGGGCUGGAGACAAGAAGGACAGUCAGGAGACCCUGAGGACCAUCUGAGGAAGAGCACCCGGUGGCUCCAUUGAGAUGUUCUAACUUACAUGGAAAAGUUAUCUGAUGAUCACUUUCAAAAUAUGAAGGGGAUCAGAUUUUCAUGGGACAAAUUUGUUAAGUAGUUCCCUACGUGUAUCACCAGUCUAGAAAAUGAGGAUAUAUAGGUAAAUCAAAUGUGGACACUGACCUCUAAAAGUUUCAGGGCAGACAGAACUUGUGUAAUGAUCUGAAACCUAAGGUAAGAAGUGAUGCACUCCAUGAGAAGGGUGCGGAUACAUUGCAAUGGGAACGCAAGGUAAGCAGAAGAUAACUUCCGAACAGAGAAUAAGAAUGACUGCACCAGGAUGAUGGCACUAGGGCAGGCUAUUAACAGUUUAUAAUUUAUAUUAGAAUGAUAGGUGACAAUUACUAAGCACUUACAUGUGCGAAGGGCUUCAUGCACAUUAUCUUCUUUAAUUCUUAUAAGGAUUCUAAGUGUUAAGUAUAGUCAUCUCCAUUUUACAGAAGAGGGAACUGGGGUGUAAAAAAAGUUAAUAGGCUUGUCCAAGGUCACUCAACUGUUAAAUGUUAAAAUCGGGAAUUAAUUCAGGUGUGGAUGGAACAAACAACAUUUAAAAAGGUUAAGAUGAAAGGAACACAUCUCCCUUAUGGAGGAAAGAGAAUCAUUAUGGGCACUGAAGUAGGGCAUGCCAGGUUAUAUUAAUAUACGGAGAAAAUGGAAUAGUUUAUUUUGCCAGGAUACUGAGUUGAAUAAAGAAUGAUCAAAUAAGCUGAUUUUUUUCCAAAUCACGUCGAGCAACAAACACCGAAGAAUCUUUCAUAAGUUACAUUUUUCAUGUAACACUGUAUCAUGCGUUAAGCUCCACUUCUAAGGUGAAGUACAGGCAGCUUUCCAUUGCUUCAAUCCAGCUCUCUGAGGUGGGCCAUCUUGAAUAGUUUAGGGCAAUUAUUUGAUCACACAUUUCCUAAUUGGCAAAAAAUGUUAAUAGUAUCUUCAAAAUCCCUUACUCCCUUGCUGCCAGUGGAGCAUGAAUGGAGCAGAUGCCAAAGACAGCUUGGAAACUUCCAAAAGGGUUGGAAAGAGCAAUUACUAUUAUCCCCGCUAUCUGCCAUGGCCAGGGCUGGCAUCACAAGCAGACUUUGUGCUUGCCAACGGGCUCAGGUGGCAUUCUGAAGGAACGACUCAUUUAUAAAACAGUGUAGUGGGUUUUACUUCCCUUAACAUGGUAAGAUCAAAGUACAGUCCAAGUAUAUAGAUAUUUGGUUCCCUACUAAAAAAGAAAAAAAAUAGAAUUGUUUCAAGGAAAGGUUGUCUUUAAUAGUUUAUCACACAAUUCAUUCUCAAAAUUGGGCACUGGUCAAAAAGAUUCGGUAAUUUUUUUUUUUUUUUUCAUACUGACCACCUUUUUCUAUGUCUGCCUGAAAAAAAAAAUAAGGGUAUCAAGGUAUCCUGGGAAAAGCCACCCCUAUUAGGCCUCCAGCCAUCUUCAGAUCCACACCUCAGCUCUUCUCGGUCCUGUGGGAUGUGAACUCCGUGAGCCUUCCAUUCUCUUGCUUACCUCUGCCACUCUAUGCCCUGCUGACGUCUUACUAAUUUUUCUUAUUCAGUAACUUGUCCCCUAAACUGUCUCUCCCAACUCUCUUUUAGGUAAAAGUAUUUAAUGUUUUCCUUAUUCACACCUUUCUUAGACCCCAAUUUUAGCCCUUAUUCUGAAGUAUGACUCCCAGGCAAACUGAAAGACAGAAAAACAACCACUUUAUCCACCUCGAUUUUAACACCUAUAAUAUUGCAUUCUGAUGAUGAAAUUGUGUGUCUCAUCAACUAAAUUUUGAGCUCCCCAAAGCUGGAACCAGGUCAUAUAUAUCACUAUGCUUCUAAUAUUGGCACAAGACCUGACACAUAACAGACAAUGAGUGAAUAGUGAUUAAAUAAAAUUUAAAAAGUGUCCUUUUUAAAAAACUGUUUCUGGACUUAAUGGAGGUUCUCACAUUUUGGGAGACAAAUUUAUUUUCUCUAUUUGUUUUAAGCAGAAUGGGAGCUAUGGAAUCAGACCUGGGGCAAAAUCCUGGCUCCUUCUCUUUGUAGUUGUUCUAUUUGUAUGAGUUAAUUAAGCAUUGUGAAAUAUGAACAUUCCUAUAGACCAUAUUGAGGGAUUAUUGCAGGAAAUAAAUGAUAUGAUGAUUCUAAGUUCCUCAUCCCAGUGCCUAGUAUAAACUGAAUGAAAAGAAACUGGUUAUUAUUUUCAUUGCUAUAAUUAAUAAGCAAGCUAGUCUCUUGAUUAUCCUUAGCAAUCUAAAGUUUAUUGGGCUCACAAAGGCCUUUGGGCUAUUUUUCCCCUAAUUCCUUGACCUGUAAUGACAAAGCCUUAUUCUUUAAAAAUAAAAACUGUUAUUCCUUUCUUGAUUUUCAACAAAUUAUUUCAUGAUUAUCACAAUCCAUGUUUUAGCACAGGAAUGUGUGCAAGGACCAGGGCUUAGGACUUCAGUUCAUGCAUUGCGAUGCUCUCAUGACAGCUCAGAAUAGUCAGAAAUUGAGAUUACGCUAAUGCAAGAAGGGGAGACUAUGAUGCUCACUGUAUGAUUUAUAAGACUAAAGAAAAAGGGAAGAAGGAGUUUGUGAAGAGGAUGAUACACUUAUCCCACACUCAGACUGAGGAUAGCAUGUGAAUGGACACUCCAGUCAGGUAAAAGGUCUCUAAGAACAGAGACCUUAACCAUAUGGAAAUCUUAACCAUAGUGGAAAGUCCAUAUUCUAGAGAUAGAGUGGGUUUUACUUUGUUUUCUUUUUUAUUUUAAUUAAAAUAUAUGAACAUGUGUGACAGUAAACCAAUAUAAAGUAUUUCCAUAUGUCACUGAACUCGACAUUUUUCAAGAUUUGGUCGUAUUUGUUUCGUUUUCCCUUUUGACUUUUAUCCUCUGCAAUGAAAUAUUUUAAAGCCAAUUUCAGAUGUUUUAUCAUUUCAACUCUAUGCACUUCACAAAUAAUAUUUUCAAAAUAAGCAUUUUCUUUCUCUCAAAUCACACUAUUGUAAAUAAGAAUAAUUAGCAAUAUUCUCAAUAUUCCUUUAACAUUCAGCCCAUUUUCAUAUUUUCUAAAGUAUAUCAAAAUGUGCUUUCACAGUUGGUUUGUUCAUAUCAGGAUCUGAACAGAGACUACUGUUAAGCUUGGUUGGGUCCAUUCCUCAUGACUUUUUUUUUUUUUCAUGUCUUUGACUUAUUGCAGACACCGUGUGAGUUGUCCCUUGGAACAAAAAUUUCUUCUAGAAGCUUGAUUAACUUCACAUUUUUUAAAACAGUAGUUCAUAAAUGGUAAGGUACAUCAACUCACACAUGUCUGUUUAUCCCACUUUUAGUGGGGCUAAGAUUAUUUACAGGUCCAGGUUGAGAUUGUCUGAUGAUUCCAUAAUAAAGUUCAUCAUCAAUUUCCAUCUAAGAGUUUUAUCCAUUGAUUACAACUGCCUAAACUAAUUACUUUAUUUAAGGGGGCUGAAUGAUUAUUUUUGAAAUCUAUCUAGCUUCCUCCACAUAUUAACUGGGUUUUUGUUUUGGUUUGGCUUUUGGUUUUUACAGAAAAGAACUCCCCCUCAUUCUUUCUUUGUCAGAACACUAAAGUUUAAUUAAAUAGUAUUUCAAAAGUAAUGAAGAAUUUCACAGACUCUAUGUAAUAAUAAAUCAAGGUAAAAUAAAAUAGUACUCUAUAAUCAUAAUUUUAUGAGUAUUUUAUAUGGCUUAGGAGUAAAAAAAAAAAAAUGACUCUUUAAAGUUUUUGUUUGAUCUGCCCUUACAUAGGAACAGAUAAUUUGUGAGAUACUAUGAGCAGAUUUUUAGAAAAUAAUAAAAAUAUUUACAGGUGGGCAUGGUGGCUCAUGCUUAUAAUCCCAGCACUUUGGGAGGCCAAGGCAGGUGGAUCACCUAAGGUCAGGAGUUCGAGAGUAGCCUAGCCAACAUGGUGAAACCCCUUCUCUACUAAAAAUACAAAAAUUAGCCAGGC
This 4971-nucleotide long non-coding RNA is filed under the name Homo sapiens (human). Its description in RNAcentral is "HSALNT0069878". The record is from RNAcentral. Lineage: Eukaryota; Metazoa; Chordata; Mammalia; Primates; Hominidae.